AUCCAGCUGAGGAGUCCCAAAUAGGACGAGAUGUGCGAGCUGGAU
This 45-nucleotide non-coding RNA is filed under the name Schistosoma mansoni. Lineage: Eukaryota; Metazoa; Platyhelminthes; Trematoda; Strigeidida; Schistosomatidae. The record is from RNAcentral.